AUUCAGUCUACCUACUGAAACGAAGCGGUACCCGUCAGUGCGAGUUAACCUUUUCAAGGUGGUCUUAUAUUUUACGGGGUGAAAACUAGAUACAUAAAGAUGAUGUAUCAAUGUGAACAGUGUGGAGGAGCUAGCUUUGAAAAGCUGAGUCAACUGAAACACCACCAACGCGUAGAAAAUCAUUGGCAGAAGUUUAACUGUGACGUGUGUGGAAAAUGGUUUACCAGAAAAACAAACCUGGAUCGUCAUAUGGAAAAACAUAGAUCUAUGAACAAUGUCCACUGUUCCGAGUGUGCUUUAGCAGACUCGACAGUCUACAACGGCAUAUGGUUGAGAAACAUCAAGUUGGGGGUGGAGCUGGAAAAAGACCUUCCGAACACACCGAAAAAGACGAUCUAGUUAAACGUCUAAGAAAAGAUGACGACCCUAGGCAAUUUUACACCAUAAACAAAAUUAAAGAGCAACGUAUGGAGAAGUUUAGAACAACUGCGGCCACAUAUAAAGUCACGUUUCAAAGUAUUGAAGUGACGGAGGACAUACAAUCAACAUUGAAGAGGCUAUUUGCUACUAUUUUUGAAGAUGUAACAAUGGGAUCAACGUCUAAAGAUUAAGUGAGGGUCACGGUUCAAAGUCGGAUCAACGUCUAAUGAUUUAGUGAGGGUCACGGUUCAAAGUCCAAUGAGCGCCACAAUGCGCGCCACAAUGCGCGCCGCAGGGAGCGCCACAAUGCGCGCCUCGGAGAUCUCCGCAGAAAAUGAAGCCAACUAUUCUCCAACACCCCUUCACCAUGAUAAUAACCCGGUUGAUCGCCAAUCUGUAAUGACACUAGCUCGACAGAUGUACCCGGGUAAUACUGAGAAAUUCCAGAAAGCCUUCGCAAAAGCGUUUUAUAUGAAUACACCUUAAUAUUAAUAAAAGACAAUAAACGGAUAGAAAA
Molecule: long non-coding RNA, 937 nt
Organism: Mercenaria mercenaria
Lineage: Eukaryota; Metazoa; Mollusca; Bivalvia; Venerida; Veneridae
Exons: 2
Source: RefSeq, a predicted model, not a curated record